AGGAUUGUAUAGGUCUCAGAGUUCUGUUAUUUAGACAUAGAUGAUUUAAUUUAACUAGUUUAGGGGAAUUUUUCUUUAGGGCUCUGAAACACACACAGAGGCUAAUAGUUUUUAAACAGAAAGUUUUUCCACCUUCUAAAAAACACAUAUUCACACGCAGCAUAUAAUUUAGCUAGUUUAGGGGUUUUUAAACAGAAAGUUUUUUCCAUCUUCUAAAAAACACAUAUUCACACACAGCAUUUAAUUUAACUAGUUUUAGGGGUAUUUUUCUUUAGGGCUCUGAAACACACAGAGGCUAAUAGUUUUUAAACAAAGUUUUUUCCACCUUCUAAAAACACAUAUUCACACGCAGCAUUUAAUUUAACUAGUUUUAGGGGUAUUUUGCUUUUUCUUUAGGGCUCUGAAACACACAGAGGUUAAUAGUUUCAAACAGAAUACCACAAACAGCAGGCAUUCCUUUAGAAAUAAACAGGGAUUCUUAAUUCUGCAACAGUUAGACCCCCUACAGUCAGCAGAAGAGGUCAUCCUUAUCAAGAGCAUCUCAAUUGUACUGCCAUAGUUUUCAAUACAAACAGUCUCCUUUAUCUUAUGGCAGAGGUCCGGCUGUGCUAGGUCCAUCGGAGCCACUAUAGCUUUUAUCAUGCCAUUACACUUUGUACUGACCAUCCUCCAAACAGGCAUCAUCUUUUGUUUACACCUUUAUCUCUGCAUCUCAGAGGUCACCUGAAACAAGCCCCACACCUAUAUAAAAAAAACGCCCUAAUCAAACACCCUGUAUUUUUCCUCACUACUUUACAUCGGUCAUUGAGAGCAUAACACUUCGUUCACCAGCACGGACAACAACCCUAAGAGCGUUCUUUUUAACAUGGACAGCAUGUAUGGUAGGUAAAACAGGACUAUUAACGGAUUCUUAAAUUUAUACAAUUGCAUAUCAAAAAAUAUUCAAACUGUUUUCUCUUCUAAACAAAAGCCUGAUUUUUAGGAACUUGGUACACUGGGACACCCCACGCGGCACUUACACAAGGAUCACAAAGCUAUAUAGGGCAAACAACACCUCUAACUAAGGAGUGCAGGAUGACGUCGGCAUCAACCAUGACGAACAGCCAGAACAUCGCCCAAGCCACAGAAGCUCUAGAGCGAGACAUGCAAGCGUGGGACCUCUCAGACUCCCCACCGCCUGCGCUGCUAAUCCAGACCCCACCACAUCCUCCCCUCUCCUCAGCUGCUGCAGGAUCCUACAGGAUCGGGUCUGUGUGAGGAAACCAUUAUCG
Oreochromis aureus is the source of this 1271-nucleotide long non-coding RNA. The record is from Ensembl. NCBI's taxonomy places the organism in Eukaryota, Metazoa, Chordata, Actinopteri, Cichliformes, Cichlidae.